GCCGGUGUGGCGGAACUGGUAGACGCGCUCGACUCAAAAUCGGGUGCCCGAAAGGGCGUGUGGGUUCGAGUCCCACCUCCGGCACCA
Molecule: transfer RNA, 87 nt
Filed under: Actinomycetota bacterium
Lineage: Bacteria; Bacillati; Actinomycetota
Description: Actinobacteria bacterium tRNA-Leu
Rfam family: tRNA
About the family: Transfer RNA (tRNA) molecules are approximately 80 nucleotides in length. Their secondary structure includes four short double-helical elements and three loops (D, anti-codon, and T loops). Further hydrogen bonds mediate the characteristic L-shaped molecular structure. tRNAs have two regions of fundamental functional importance: the anti-codon, which is responsible for specific mRNA codon recognition, and the 3' end, to which the tRNAs corresponding amino acid is attached (by aminoacyl-tRNA synthetases). tRNAs cope with the degeneracy of the genetic code in two manners: having more than one tRNA (with a specific anti-codon) for a particular amino acid; and 'wobble' base-pairing, i.e. permitting non-standard base-pairing at the 3rd anti-codon position.
Source: RNAcentral